This 253-nucleotide ribosomal RNA is filed under the name uncultured bacterium. RNAcentral's name for it is "partial 16S ribosomal RNA". It matches the Rfam family "Bacterial small subunit ribosomal RNA", at positions 524 to 776 of the family's 1533-position model. The record is from RNAcentral.
UACGUAGGGGGCAAGCGUUGUCCGGAUUUAUUGGGCGUAAAGAGCGUGUAGGCGGCCAGACAGGUCCGUUGUGAAAACUGGAGGCUCAACCUCCAGACGUCGAUGGAAACCGUCUGGCUAGAGUCCGGAAGAGGAGAGUGGAAUUCCUGGUGUAGCGGUGAAAUGCGCAGAUAUCAGGAAGAACACCAAUGGCGAAAGCAGCUCUCUGGGACGGUACUGACGCUGAGACGCGAAAGCGUGGGGAGCGAACAGG